RNAcentral lists this microRNA (21 nucleotides) under Caenorhabditis brenneri. RNAcentral's name for it is "cbn-miR-7628". The record is from miRBase by way of RNAcentral. Lineage: Eukaryota; Metazoa; Nematoda; Chromadorea; Rhabditida; Rhabditidae.
UGUACAAUGUCCUAGCUCGAU